RNAcentral lists this ribosomal RNA (466 nucleotides) under uncultured bacterium. Its description in RNAcentral is "partial 16S ribosomal RNA". It matches the Rfam family "Bacterial small subunit ribosomal RNA", at positions 28 to 507 of the family's 1533-position model. The record is from RNAcentral.
GAUGAACGCUGGCGGCGUGCUUAACACAUGCAAGUCGAACGGAAAGGCCCAAGCUUGCUUGGGUGCUCGAGUGGCGAACGGGUGAGUAACACGUGGGUGAUCUGCCCUGCACUUUGGGAUAAGCCUGGGAAACUGGGUCUAAUACCGGAUAGGACCAUCGUUUAGUGUCGGUGGUGGAAAGUUUUUCGGUGUGGGAUGAGCUCGCGGCCUAUCAGCUUGUUGGUGGGGUAAUGGCCUACCAAGGCGUCGACGGGUAGCCGGCCUGAGAGGGUGUACGGCCACAUUGGGACUGAGAUACGGCCCAGACUCCUACGGGAGGCAGCAGUGGGGAAUAUUGCACAAUGGGCGCAAGCCUGAUGCAGCGACGCCGCGUGGGGGAUGACGGCCUUCGGGUUGUAAACUCCUUUCGCCAAGGACGAAGCGUUCUGUGACGGUACUUGGAGAAGAAGCACCGGCUAACUACGUG